CGCAGUUUCCGUAGCAAUACGGGGAUGGGCGCACGGCGCACGGGUGCGUAACACGUGGGCAAUCUGCCCUCCGAUGGGGAAUACCCCCGCGAAAGCGGGACUAAUUCCGCAUAACAUUCCUUGGAUUAACUUUCGAGGAUUCAAAGCAGCAAUGCGUCGGAGGAGGAGCCCGCGCCCGAUUAGCUAGUUGGUGAGGUAACGGCUCACCAAGGCAAUGAUCGGUAGCUGGUCUGAGAGGAUGGCCAGCCACACUGGAACUGAGACACGGUCCAGACUCCUACGGGAGGCAGCAGUGGGGAAUCUUGCACAAUGGGCGAAAGCCUGAUGCAGCGACGCCGCGUGGGGGAUGAAGCUUUUCGGAGUGUAAACCCCUUUCGACUGGGACGAAUGCCUCGCAAGAGGAGUGACGGUACCAGUAUAAGAAGCCCCGGCUAACUACGUGCCAGCAGCCGCGGUAAGACGUAGGGGGCCAGCGUUGUUCGGAAUUACUGGGUGUAAAGGGUUCGUAGGCGGUGUGGCAAGUCGGGAGUGAAAUCUCUGGGCUCAACCCAGAGACUGCUUCCGAAACUGCUGUGCUUGAGUGUGAGAGAGGCUCGUGGAAUUGCAGGUGUAGCGGUGAAAUGCGUAGAUAUCUGCAGGAACACCCGUGGCGAAAGCGGCGAGCUGGAUCACUACUGACGCUGAGGAACGAAAGCUAGGGGAGCAAACAGGAUUAGAUACCCUGGUAGUCCUAGCCCUAAACGAUCAGGACUUGGGGUGCCGCCCGUUCGGGCGUCGUCCCGGAGCUAACGCGUUAAGUCCUGCACCUGGGGAGUACGGUCGCAAGACUG
RNAcentral lists this ribosomal RNA (830 nucleotides) under uncultured Bacteroidota bacterium. Its description in RNAcentral is "bacterial SSU rRNA". It matches the Rfam family "Bacterial small subunit ribosomal RNA", at positions 66 to 896 of the family's 1533-position model. Lineage: Bacteria; Pseudomonadati; Bacteroidota. The record is from RNAcentral.